Molecule: non-coding RNA, 114 nt
Organism: Acanthosepion pharaonis
Lineage: Eukaryota; Metazoa; Mollusca; Cephalopoda; Sepiida; Sepiidae
Source: the annotation of a GenBank genome assembly
UUACGGUCACAUCCCGUCGAAACACCGCUUCCCGUAAAAUCACCGAAGUUAAGCAACAUCGAUCCUGGUCUUUACCUAGAUGGGUGACCGUUUGGUAAUACUGGGUGCUGUAAU